Non-coding RNA from Notechis scutatus (mainland tiger snake), 107 nucleotides. The record is from RefSeq and is a predicted model, not a curated record. NCBI's taxonomy places the organism in Eukaryota, Metazoa, Chordata, Lepidosauria, Squamata, Elapidae.
GUGCUUGCUUCAGCAGCAUAUAUAGUGAAAUUGUAAUGAUAUAGGGACAAUUAGCAUGGCCUCUGCACAUGGAUGACAGAGUGUCCCGUUUAAAAAAAGAGAAAGAG